RNAcentral lists this ribosomal RNA (253 nucleotides) under uncultured bacterium. Its description in RNAcentral is "partial 16S ribosomal RNA". It matches the Rfam family "Bacterial small subunit ribosomal RNA", at positions 524 to 776 of the family's 1533-position model. The record is from RNAcentral.
UACGUAGGGGGCUAGCGUUGUCCGGAAUCAUUGGGCGUAAAGCGCGUGUAGGCGGUCCGGUAAGUCCGCUGUGAAAGUCGGGGGCUCAACCCUCGGAUGCCGGUGGAUACUGCCGGGCUUGAGUACGGAAGAGGCGAGUGGAAUUCCUGGUGUAGCGGUGAAAUGCGCAGAUAUCAGGAGGAACACCAAUUGCGAAGGCAGCUCGCUGGGACGUUACUGACGCUGAGACGCGAAAGCGUGGGGAGCAAACAGG